UGGCUGUUUGCUGAACACAUGCAAGUCGAACGAACUCUUCGGAGUGAGUGGCGGACGGGUGAGUAACGCGUGAGAAUCUGCCUGUGGGUCGGGGACAACCACUGGAAACGGUGGCUAAUACCGGAUGAGCCGAAAGGUAAAAAAUUUAUUGCCCACAGAUGAGCUCGCGUCUGAUUAGCUAGUUGGUAAGGUAAAAGCGUACCAAGGCGACGAUCAGUAGCUGGUCUGAGAGGAUGAGCAGCCACACUGGGACUGAGACACGGCCCAGACUCCUACGGGAGGCAGCAGUGGGGAAUUUUCCGCAAUGGGCGAAAGCCUGACGGAGCAAGACCGCGUGGGGGAGGAAGGUUUUUGGAUCGUAAACCCCUUUUGUCAAGGAAGAAGUUCUGACGGUACUUGACGAAUAAGCCUCGGCUAACUCCGUGCCAGCAGCCGCGGGUAAUACGGAGGAGGCANGCGUUAUCCGGAAUGAUUGGGCGUAAAGCGUCUGUAGGUGGCCAGCUAAGUCUGCUGUUAAAGAUCACAGCUCA
Molecule: ribosomal RNA, 530 nt
Filed under: uncultured bacterium
Lineage: Bacteria
Description: bacterial SSU rRNA
Rfam family: Bacterial small subunit ribosomal RNA
Source: RNAcentral